This 869-nucleotide ribosomal RNA is filed under the name Pseudomonas kilonensis. RNAcentral's name for it is "bacterial SSU rRNA". It matches the Rfam family "Bacterial small subunit ribosomal RNA", at positions 29 to 892 of the family's 1533-position model. Lineage: Bacteria; Pseudomonadati; Pseudomonadota; Gammaproteobacteria; Pseudomonadales; Pseudomonadaceae. The record is from RNAcentral.
UUGAACGCUGGCGGCAGGCCUAACACAUGCAAGUCGAGCGGUAGAGAGGUGCUUGCACCUCUUGAGAGCGGCGGACGGGUGAGUAAUACCUAGGAAUCUGCCUGGUAGUGGGGGAUAACGUUCGGAAACGGACGCUAAUACCGCAUACGUCCUACGGGAGAAAGCAGGGGACCUUCGGGCCUUGCGCUAUCAGAUGAGCCUAGGUCGGAUUAGCUAGUUGGUGAGGUAAUGGCUCACCAAGGCUACGAUCCGUAACUGGUCUGAGAGGAUGAUCAGUCACACUGGAACUGAGACACGGUCCAGACUCCUACGGGAGGCAGCAGUGGGGAAUAUUGGACAAUGGGCGAAAGCCUGAUCCAGCCAUGCCGCGUGUGUGAAGAAGGUCUUCGGAUUGUAAAGCACUUUAAGUUGGGAGGAAGGGCAUUAACCUAAUACGUUAGUGUUUUGACGUUACCGACAGAAUAAGCACCGGCUAACUCUGUGCCAGCAGCCGCGGUAAUACAGAGGGUGCAAGCGUUAAUCGGAAUUACUGGGCGUAAAGCGCGCGUAGGUGGUUCGUUAAGUUGGAUGUGAAAUCCCCGGGCUCAACCUGGGAACUGCAUUCAAAACUGACGAGCUAGAGUAUGGUAGAGGGUGGUGGAAUUUCCUGUGUAGCGGUGAAAUGCGUAGAUAUAGGAAGGAACACCAGUGGCGAAGGCGACCACCUGGACUGAUACUGACACUGAGGUGCGAAAGCGUGGGGAGCAAACAGGAUUAGAUACCCUGGUAGUCCACGCCGUAAACGAUGUCAACAGAGCCGUUGGGAGCCUUGAGCUCUUAGUGGCGCAGCUAUACGCACGAAGUGACCGCUUGGGACGCGCCAUUGAUAA